This 1955-nucleotide unclassified non-coding RNA is filed under the name uncultured fungus. RNAcentral's name for it is "sequence contains 18S rRNA gene, ITS1, 5.8S rRNA gene, ITS2, 28S rRNA gene". The stretch from base 745 to 1955 matches the Rfam family "Eukaryotic large subunit ribosomal RNA", at positions 1 to 961 of the family's 3401-position model. Lineage: Eukaryota; Fungi. The record is from RNAcentral.
GUAUGGAUCAUUACCGUUCUCGUUUUUGAUUGUUUUCAAAUACAACAAUCAUCAACAGACAACAUUCUCUAACUUCGCACAAUCAUCAUGCAUAUGCAUGUGAUUGUGUCGCACCAUUAUGUAAAUAACAAGUCUCUCUCACCUGCUCUCAUCAGCAGCGUGUGAGAUGACUUGUCAUUUCAACUUUUCCACAUUCAACAAAUCAUUGUUGUUUGUCAGUGAAUAUGAAUCGAAUCUAAUAUAUAUAAACAGAAAACAUAAUUCUGUACGGUGGAUCACUCGGCUCGUUAUUCGAUGAAGAGCGCAGCAAAGUGCGAGAAAGCAAUGCGAAUUGCAGGACACAUUGAGCAUGAAUAACUCGAACGCAUCUAGCAGCCAAGACUCAGUCGAGGCUAAAUUUGCUUCAGUCUUGUUUACAUAACAUCAAAUUCAUUUGUUUGUCUAACAACAAAGAAAUGAAUUGCUGGCAAGUUCAAUGAAAUCUCUUUGGAUUUGAUUUAGCUUGCAAGACAUAUCUGACAUACAUGAUAUUCUAUCGAAUGUCGUGCAUACGUGUAAACACGAAGUUAUACACAACACACACACACAUCUGUUGAUUUGUGUCAGUUGUCGUAACAUGAGAAAUCUUUAUCAUAUCCGUGUUAUUGACAACAGACAAAGACGCAUCUAAACAUGUGUACACGUGCGUAUGUAUAGAAGACGUUCUCGCGUCUUCGUUUCGCUUCUCCUAACUAUCUUUCAUUUCAAGCUGAAGUCAAAUUAGAAUACUUGCUGAACUUAAGCAUAUUAAUAAGCAAAGGAAAAGAAAUCAACUGAGAUUGCCUUAGUAAUGGCGAAUGAACCGGCAAAAGCUCAUUGCUGAAGCGUGUUAAAUUCACUUUUGACAUGCAUUGUAGCAUUUGGGGUGACUACUGUAUGGUGCCUGUUCGUGUGAGUUCCUUUGAUCAGGGCUUUAACCAUAGAAGGUGCUAGUCCUAUAAUCACGAAUAGUUCUGUGCCGUACAUUGUACACCUUUCGAGUAGCGUAGUUUGAGAUUGCUACGCCAACGUGGGACGUAAACUUGUUCCAAAGCUAAAUAUCAUAACGAGACCGAUAGCGAACAAGUACCGUGAGGGAAAGUUGAAAAGCACUCUGAAGAGAGAGUUAAAUAGUACGUAAAACCGUACAGAAGAAAACGAAUGGCCGCAUUCAUCAGAUUGCUUUGGAUUCAAUUCGAUCUCUAUAUGAUGGUGAGACUUGUCAAGUUGGAACUUCAACAGUCCCUUGGUUCGUUCUUAUCUAGAGUCGGAUGCAUUUCCAAAGUAUUAACUGAACCUGGAUCUAUAACAUGAAAGCUAGUCGAAUCAGCCGAUCUUGGUAGCGAGUUUACUCGUGUUAAAGAUACGGCUUGCAUAGACAACAAAUUCGACUUGGCGUUAUAGGUGAACAGACAUGUUUUUGAUUUCAGUACCUCGAGUACGGCAUGCCAUGAGCAUUGUUUGUGCCACAUGAGUGACUAAGGCGUCAAAACUUUAGUUUCAUCCAUUGUCGGUGCCUAAUGUUUUGUGGCUGUCAAUGAAAUCGGCAAGUCUACAGGAGUUUUGAAUGCCGAGUUAUUCGACCCGUCUUGAAACACGGUCUAAGGAGUUCACUGCAUGUGCAAGAGUUCGGCUGUAUGAAACGCCUUGCUCGUAAUGAAAGUAAAGAACAUUCUUGCAAUGUUUGAAGUGUGAUUUCUGUCAUCUGGUGCAAAUCAUGACAAUGAACGCAACACUGACAGGUUCUAUUGCCGUUGGCAAAGAGCUUAGUAAGAGUAUAUGCAAUGAGACCCGAAAGAUGGUGAACUUAAUGUGUGUAGAAUGAAGCCAGGGGAAACCCUGGUGGAAGUUCGUAGCGGUUCUGACGUGCAAAUCGAUCGUCAAACAUGCAUUAAGGGGCGAAAGACUAAUCGAACCAUCUAGUAGCUGGUUCCGUC